UCCUUCAGUUUGUGGAGAACUACUUGGCGGGGAAGUCCCUACAAUUUUCAUGGACAAGGAAUGACGUGGAGGAAAAGAGGAAACAGAUUAAAUUGUCAUUGACUGCUUUCAGCUGUAGGCAAGGCUCGAUGGUUACAGGGGUCAGGCCGGUCCGCAUAGUCAUUCCCACCCAAGGAAGACUGCACAGGCAAAUCUGGGAAUGCACUCAGGAAGCAAAGCUUAACUUAAAUUUUACUAGAUUAUUAAUGGCUGUUUUCACACCUGAUAGGGAGUUAAAUAAUUAUUAAAGUGUAAUGUUAUGGAUGUCACUGUAACACUAGCUGUGCCUUGCUUGUUUCCAUAGAGACCCUAAGUGUUAAGUCUGUGAGUGACCGCUCUCUGGGCCAGUCAGAUUCUGGCUUCAUCGAGCCAAAACAGUCAACCUCCGGAGAGGCAUCCAUAACAUCCAUCCAGAAGUCUGCUAAGAGGAUGAGAGAUGAGAGUCCUGGUGAUGAUGCUAGUGUGAAGAGGUCAAAAGAAACAGUUGCUGAGGCGUCCCCAGCAGAGGUCCCAGACAUCACGAUAACGGACGAGUCCAGUCAGCCAGAUGACAGGCAGAUCCAGUGGCAGAGGUCGCACCCACCCAGCAGGUGGAAGUGGAACAGAAGGAGGGGGCA
Dreissena polymorpha is the source of this 656-nucleotide long non-coding RNA. RefSeq lists it as uncharacterized. The record is from RefSeq and is a predicted model, not a curated record. Lineage: Eukaryota; Metazoa; Mollusca; Bivalvia; Myida; Dreissenidae. The transcript has 5 exons.